ACGAGUACUUGUACUUGGUGGCGACCGGCGCACGGGUGCGUAACGCGUAUGCAACCUACCUUAUACUGAGGGAUAGCCCAGAGAAAUUUGGAUUAAUACCUCAUAGUAUCAUUUGAAGGCAUCUGAGAAUGAUUAAAGAUUUAUCGGUAUAAGAUGGGCAUGCGUAAGAUUAGUUAGUUGGUGAGGUAACGGCUCACCAAGACUUCGAUCUUUAGGGGUUCUGAGAGGAUGAUCCCCCACACUGGCACUGAGAUACGGACCAGACUUC
This 268-nucleotide ribosomal RNA is filed under the name unidentified marine bacterioplankton. RNAcentral describes it as "partial 16S ribosomal RNA". It matches the Rfam family "Bacterial small subunit ribosomal RNA", at positions 72 to 339 of the family's 1533-position model. RNAcentral also lists the same sequence under 1 other name. The record is from RNAcentral.